UACGGAGGGUGCAAGCGUUAAUCGGAAUUACUGGGCGUAAAGCGCGCGUAGGCGGCUAGGUCAGUGAGGUGUGAAAGCCCUGGGCUCAACCUGGGAACUGCAUCUCAUACUGCCUGGCUAGAGUACGAGAGAGGGGGGUAGAAUUCCAGGUGUAGCGGUGAAAUGCGUAGAGAUCUGGAGGAAUACCGGUGGCGAAGGCGGCCCCCUGGACAAAGACUGACGCUCAGGUGCGAAAGCGUGGGGAGCAAACAGG
RNAcentral lists this ribosomal RNA (253 nucleotides) under uncultured bacterium. Its description in RNAcentral is "partial 16S ribosomal RNA". It matches the Rfam family "Bacterial small subunit ribosomal RNA", at positions 524 to 776 of the family's 1533-position model. The record is from RNAcentral.